Long non-coding RNA from Schistocerca serialis cubense, 3491 nucleotides. RefSeq lists it as uncharacterized. Lineage: Eukaryota; Metazoa; Arthropoda; Insecta; Orthoptera; Acrididae. The record is from RefSeq and is a predicted model, not a curated record. The transcript is spliced from 3 exons.
CGAGCGCGGCGUCUCGCCGGAGCCCGGCUGCGGGCCGCCGUCGCCGCACGCGCUGCUCGCCGCCAGGAAGGCGCGCCUCGAGGUCGCCGCCGUCUGACCAAACACAUCAACUACUACUACUCUCUCUCUCGUAUCACAUUACGUGGUCACAUUUUGUGGCUCCUCCGGUGGUUGCUUGGGUCCAUAUUAUUCGAAUGAACCGUUUCAAAAAUGUACUGGACUCUGUUCAGUGCAAGUUUAUCACAAAAGUAAAUAUUGCAGAAAGGUAUCGUGCAUGCAGAAUUUGCUCCUCCAAUACAAACUGCCAACAACUAUUUUGCAAAGAUAUCCGUAAAAGACUCGAGACGAGGGUGAAUCUAUUGAGAUCGGGCAUCGCAGACAAGUGGAUGCUGCAUCGUGACAACGCUCCACGUCACACGACCACUUCCAUUACGGAAUUUUUUUUCUCAAAAGGUAUUCUUGUUGUUCCACAGCCCCGAUCACUUCCAUUACGGAAUUUUUUUUCUCAAAAGGUAUUCUUGUUGUUCCACAGCCCCGAUCACUUCCAUUACGGAUUUUUUUUUUCUCAAAAGGUAUUUUUGUUGUUCCACAGCCCCGAUCACUUCCAUUACGGAUUUUUUUUUUCUCAAAAGGUAUUCUUGUUGUUCCACAGCCCCGAUCACUUCCAUUACGAAAUUUUUUCUCAAAAGGCAUUCAAGUUGUUCCACAGCCUCCCUAUUCACAAGAUCUGAGUCCUUGUGACUUUUUUCCUCCCCUGAUAUUAAAAAAAUGCCCUAAAACGACAUUCAAAAGAACGUGACGGACAUGUUAAAAGCCUUACCAGUUGAAGCCUUUCAGCGCUGCUACCAAAACUGGGAACAACGACUCUGCCGGUGUGAAGCUGUCGAAGACAACUCCUUUCAGGAUGACAAUAUUCUUAUUUGAAAAAUACAAAAACUUUGGUCUCAUUACUUUUCUCACACAUCUCUUAUACUGACAAAGUGAUAAAUGAAACAACACUAAACGACCUGUGCCCAAGUGAGGGACAAAACCACGAAUGGGUUCACUCAACUGGUAAACACUACGGCACUGUGACCUCUAGACUAGAGGAAAUCGCUAGAAGUAAAGUUACAGUGUUAAUCGAAGAAACCCAUUAACAAUAGCAACAUUGAGACUUAGGUAUAAAAACUAAUUGACCACAGGUUGUCUCCAUAUUAACUUCGUUGCACUACCGAAAAUAGUUUUUCAAUAAUGAUCAAAUAUCCGAGAAACUUGCAUUGUUUAUUAGACUUUGUAGAACUAAAAAUCGUACCCAUAUUAACUAGCACACCAUGUCUUGGGGAGCCCAUUCGUUCAGAUUGUUUGGAAGGAGAUACUAAAAUGUAGUGAGCGCGGAGUACGGAAUGUCAUUACGUGGAAGUAACCACAGUAUAACUGAUACUUCGAAGUCUUUUAAGUGCUGUUGAGCAGCGUCGUGCUACGUAACCCGAAUGUAUGCAAUGCUCAUUCCUUCCUCAAAGUAAUAAAUAAAUUAUUCUUGUACUUGGCCACUGUAAGCAAGGACAGCAGUUACAGAGCAAAGCACAACUUGGUAGUGUACCUGAUUAUAUUAAUUUUUUAAUGGGUCACUUAACCAGGAAAGUUGUAUGACAAUUUUAGGAUCUUGAAAUAGAAGUUAAGUCUGUCUUUAUCAGAAUUUUAUUUACUUUUUUAAGAUUAAUCAAAAGUGGUCAAAGAAACAAUAUUGAUUGAAUAUUAAUUGAAUUACGAAGUGAUGCUAACACUGUGGGAGGUAACAAAUCGAAAGGAAGACGGCAUGAAGAAUGAAGACCCAGAUAUCCUUGUCCGAGCAGGUCACAGAGACGAUAUUAUUGAAACAUGAUACAAGUUGAAAUUAAAUAAGAAACGCAAGUUACCUGCCAUAAAUAUAAGAGAAACGAGCUGCUCAGAUUGCAGUUUGCACUACGGCGGGGUAUGAGAACUUACAUCUCCUGGUGAUCAGCAAAGUAUGCUCAGCAGCCCCAGCUGGUAGUCAGCUCAAAUCUCCUCCAGCUGUCCGUAUCUGCAGGUCUCUUGACUCAUCCGCUGUUUGUCCUCGAAUGCCCCAGAACUUACUUUCUCUUUCUCAACUUCCAACCUUUCAAAAAUUCAACGACUAAUGGGGUGACUCCAAGCUAUUGCCAGUGUAUAGGACGAGAAAUGUGGCAAAAUUUACCGAAUAUGGGAGAAAGAAAAGCAAAUUUCCCACUUCUUUGUGUACAACACGUAUAUUUUACCAUCAUGAGAUUGGCACUGGGCUGAAGCAGUGAUACUUUAAUUGGUUGGCCCAUGUGCUAGGUCAGGCGACACAAUCUCAUUGGAUGAAUCAGACAUUUUGAAUUAAAUGCAACCGACACUCCCAUGCUAGGCACCAAGAUGUCUCAGCCUUUGAAGUAACGCAGAAGAGCAAAAAUAAAAUGUCUUGCUUCUAUCUCCAGCAGGUGGUAACGUGGUUCACUGUCCAGCACGCAGCGCGAUGCUGUCGAUAUUCUCAUAAAGGCGGGCUGCAGGCUGGCUUCUGCGUAAGUUUCUGAAUACCCCAGGGAAACAUGCUUGACCUAAAGAGAAUCACAGACUACCCUCUGCCGACAAACGAGACCCGAGAUCGGGGCCCACUUGCACCGCUAGGAGGGUGCGAAGCUUCCUCUCCGUGUACUCAUUUCCAGCGCCCACAGAUGUGGCGGCAAAAUAGUGGGCGAAAACUGAAUUGAUGUCGCACAGCAUUAUAUGACAAUAAUGUCACACAGAUAUGGAGAAAUAACAGGAGAAUCAGCGCGUGGAAACAGUGCAUAACUUGAAAUAAAAACUAUGCGGUCCUUCGCAUUACCAACAUUUUAAAAAAUCAAGCGAGUGAGGAAGACUCUUACGAUCACACCGCAUUCAGAAAAGAAAUGACGCAUUAUAAUAGGUACUGGAGAUUAUUUUUACUUUACAGGAAUACGACCACACAAUUUUCACAUAGUCGCGUCUGUUUUGCAUAAUUUCCCAUUUGCUUUCAGUGUAUGUAUUUUCGAACGGCCUUCUGAGUAUCGCUGAAAUAUUGAAACCCAGACUUUAAUUUCUUACUUUCUGAAAAUAACGAAAGCAACCCUAUUGAUAUAAACUCUUUCAACCGUCUACGUAGUUUUGCCAACAUCUAAAAUAAUAUCAACACAGAGAGCGUCUUUUGUAACUUUCUUCGUUUGUUAUUUUAGCGUCCUUUUGAUAGCAAAAUGACUGAGGGGCAAGUAAUUAUAAUCUAUCAAUUGUCCAGCCUUACUUUAGGAAAUUAAUUACUUAGGUGGACGUAGACAAUGUAAAUAUGUACAUAGGGAGCGUAACUCCAUUGGACCAGCUAUUCCACGGUACGUUCCAUGCAACAAUAAAGAUAAGACUGCUGUUGUUAUUGUUGUUAUUAUUAAAUAUGAACACUGUAUAUUAAAUUUUGCCAUAUACAAAUACAUGUAACAAAAAUAAACAGUGGUUACAGUUUA